This 280-nucleotide unclassified non-coding RNA is filed under the name Hevea brasiliensis (rubber tree). The record is from RNAcentral. Lineage: Eukaryota; Viridiplantae; Streptophyta; Magnoliopsida; Malpighiales; Euphorbiaceae.
ACCUUGUACCAAACACUUCCUAAGAUGUGAUUCACUGAUUCUUGUGAAUACCCUUGACCUAUCAAUGGCAAAAACAUCAAACUUGUUGAAACACACACACUUAUCAAGUUCAUUCAUCCUAAUCAAGCCAGCCAUAUUAUAAUUCAUAACCAUCUAUGUCCUUGGGACUACAUUGUUUAGAAAUUUGCUCAAUGAGCAAGCGUUGCAAUUUUUUUAUGUAUAGUUUGAAUUAAAGGGCUCGGGAGUACAUGGUUAAAAACUUUCCCAACAUGCACAGAUA